AGAAUGUCCGCUACACACUGAUAUAACUUGGAAUGAGAAACCUCAUGGAGAAAACAUACAUCUUUAACAAAUACCAGCCAAAUUUCAAAAACAACAUAAUAAAUAAAAAUGUACUAAAUAAAAUUAAAACAUUCACAUCUGCAUUUUCUGGAGAAAAAUCAUCUCACCCAUUACAAACGCUAUACUAGCCAAAAACUAAUUUAGAACUUGGAGCAGUAUCAAUAAAGGAUGACUUGUUCACCAUAUAUAUACAGCAAAUUCUCCUGAGCUUUAAGCAUUUUGUGUUCCACCCUUCGAAAUGUGGUUCAGAGGAGCACAAAAUCAAGCGAAUUUCAUUGCCUUAUCCUCUCAACAACGGACACCACCACUAAAGAAACUGGGUCAGAUCUUGAUUAGCUGUUCGGAUAAGAACCUCGAGGCUUAGCUUCUAUGCAGAAAACAUGAGGAAUAAAAUAAAAGCUCUUAAAAUCAAGUCAAGCCAGGUUUGUAGAAAUGCAAGUAUCAGCAUUAAUCCAUGCAUUUCAUGCAAAACGAAUACGGCAACCAACAAUGAAACUACAACACUGCUCCAGAUUUUUUACACAGGACAUUUACAAGGACUCAUCAUCAAUACAAAUUUCCGAAUCCCAUGGCUUCCCCAAGUCUGUAACUAAUGCAACUCAAACAUUGGAUUAUAUUAAACAGCCAGCAAAUCUGCAUUUCCAUUUCACAAGAGAUAGAGAAAGAGAGAUUCUUCCAACUAAUAAACACCAAUAUUAACUAUCUAGCUCCCUCUAGCCAUCUUCUUCAGAAAUGUUAAACAAGAACUUUGGAAGAGAUGCAAUACGAGGGAGAUGAAGCAGCAGCUCCCCAAAUGAGUCUUUCCUCGACAUGCCUGGUGCUUGCUUGCUGCCAGAAACAUCCUUCAUAUUCAUUUCAGGGUCCUUUGUAUCAGCUUUACUCUUGUUCUCUUGCAACAAUUCAUUAGUGCUGUUUAGCUGAACCCCUUUCCCAUUGCCUGAUUCUCCAAUACAACCUUCAUUAUUAACUUGCAAGUUCUGGGUUGAAGCAGGGUCCUUCUGCAAGAGACAACAGAGAGAAUUGACCCUAGCCAUGAGCCUUUUCUCAUCAGAGGAGGUUGUUAGUUGGGUGUCGCUAAGAAGGUACUCUGCAAUGUCCUCUAAUAUGUCCUGGCAUUCUGAUCCCUCUGCAGGGAACGGUGGAUUUCCAGAAAUCAUUUGUUCUGAAAUACAGUUCCCAAUGUGAUUCAUGAGAUCACUCAUUGACACAGAUGAGUGCAAGCCGGGCACUUUGAUCUGAUCCCAAUUCCUUGGCCCCUUUGAAUCAACAGCUUCACAAAUUCCACUCCCUUCAAUUGCACGAGUAUCCAUCACUAGUGUGAGAGAGUAAAUCAGUGAUCAAUUUGGAUAAUAGGUACAUAUGCACUAAAAACGCAAACCAGCUUAUAAAAACCACUGCACAACUCAAACCCUAGGAAAAAUAAUAACACUAGAGUUCUGGACAUUAGAAUAACACCAACAUUAGAAAUGAAAAGAAGAAUAUAAAUGAAACUUAAAGACUAGUGGUUUUACUCUUGAGAUGAGAUAUUUCAUGCAAAAAGUUCUGAAGGUUAGGACUUAGGAUGAUGUGUCCAAGUCACCCCCUCCCCCCUCUCUCAGAGGAUGCUUCUUUGAAUCAACAAACACUGGAAUAUGGUUAGACAGUUAUUUAAAAUAGUAACAUACAAACAAAGCAUUAAUAGCAUAUACUGAAGCAUAAUAUGCAAAGAUAUUCUACAUGCUAGAAUUAGUUAACAGUAUUAUCAAUGUAUGUUCCUUAGACUCGCCCCAAUAUCUACUCAGAAGUUUCCUCACAAGCAGAAGGAUACACAGUUAAUUUACAAUACCUAGAAAGAGUAUUGGAAAAUCUCUCCAGUUUUGGGUGUUGGAAGAAAGAAUCAUAAAUAAUCAAAUUUAGACAGAAAGCCAUCUAUGGGGAAAAGCCACCAUCCCUUGAGCGAUCCAAAAAAAAUGCUAUUAAAAAAUCGAGCAUGAUUAUCUGUCCUCUCAUGCAACAUUAUCACAUUAAAACUAUGACAUAGAUCAAAGAUAUGAAAAACAAAUUCCAGAAGCUUAUCAUACCUGAGCUGGGAGAAGGAGCUUCUCGGGACAUGUGCUCUGAUGAUGUACCAGCAUGAUCCCCCUUUUCAAACUCUAAGGAAGAUGAGUGAGCGGCAGAUGGUGAUGCUAGAUCUUGGAAACCAGAAAUAGAGGAUCCAUUACCAGUCUCUGCUUGAUUAAGAUCUUGACCUUUUGAUUCAUCUGGAUCCUUAAAAACAGAUGAACAUUGCUCAAAAUAUGGUGUAUCUAAAAUUAUCUCUCGCUGUCGACUUAAAAAGUUCAAACGCAUGUCACACUGGAUGAGCUUUUCAAAAUGUUUAUUUAACAGCCCCUGUGGACAUUGCAGAAAAUGUUGCCUGUGUACGCUAGCCUGUCCAUCAGUAAAAUCUGCUGUCGCCUGCCAUAAGGUGUGCUUUCGGGGCUGUGGAUUAGUCUCCCUAAAGAAAAGAGGCUGUCUAGCCAGCACAACAGUCAAUGUCCCAGGUGCAUUAUCAGGACAGUUGGCUUUCAGACCCAUAAUGUCAGACCACUGGAUUUCUAUCUUACUCUUCAGACCACCUUCAAGAACUUCCCAAACAAGCUUAUGUUUUGCAAAGUAACACUUUGCGACCAACUCCCCUUCAUAUCUCGACUUAUACUCCCAGCUCCCAACUUUCAGAAGCGAAGCAGGAAAAUUAGAGGCUUUCAGCUUAUCAGUAGCAGUACUACCAGUAGCCUUGUGAUCUUUCUUCAUAUUAUUUUGUUGAGAAAGCUUCAUUUGUAUUAAAUCCAAAAGGGAAGGACUCUUUUUGAGACGCAAUCCGAGCGGGCUAGGCUCGUCAAGUGGAUUGCAAAGAGAAGCAACAGGAAUCAUCUGCAAAGACGAAUCGAGUUUGGAGCGUUUGUGAAUAGGACCGAGUUGAUCCUCCAAAGACUCCUCAACUUCAACCUUCACUGAAGAUUUCUUGGUACUCAUUAGCUGAACCAUUGUCAAGUUUGGGGUUUUUCAAGAAUAGAACUCGGUGAGUUAACUCAGUCAAAAUCCCCGAUUUGAGAAUCUGUGACAAAUAUCGCACUACUAUAUCCCUUUCUCUCUCUUCCACUCUCAGAGAUUUCAAUGGCU
RNAcentral lists this unclassified non-coding RNA (3201 nucleotides) under Hevea brasiliensis (rubber tree). Lineage: Eukaryota; Viridiplantae; Streptophyta; Magnoliopsida; Malpighiales; Euphorbiaceae. The record is from RNAcentral.